UACGGGGGGAGCAAGCGUUGUUCGGAUUUACUGGGCGUAAAGGGCGCGUAGGCGGUCAGCACAGGUCAGUUGUGAAAUCUCCGAGCUUAACUCGGAAAGGUCAACUGAUACUGUGCGGCUAGAGUGCAGAAGGGGCAACUGGAAUUCUUGGUGUAGCGGUGAAAUGCGUAGAUAUCAGGAGGAACACCAGUGGCGAAGGCGGUUCUCUGGGCAUUACCCGACGCUGAGGAGCGAAAGUGUGGGGAGCGAACAGG
This 254-nucleotide ribosomal RNA is filed under the name uncultured bacterium. Its description in RNAcentral is "partial 16S ribosomal RNA". It matches the Rfam family "Bacterial small subunit ribosomal RNA", at positions 524 to 776 of the family's 1533-position model. The record is from RNAcentral.